GCCUCCUUAGCUCAACUGGUAGAGCAACUGAUUUGUAAUCAGUAGGUUGCUGGUUCGAUUCCGGCAGGGGGCA
RNAcentral lists this transfer RNA (73 nucleotides) under Candidatus Cardinium hertigii. RNAcentral describes it as "tRNA-Thr". It matches the Rfam family "tRNA". From Rfam's summary of the family: Transfer RNA (tRNA) molecules are approximately 80 nucleotides in length. Their secondary structure includes four short double-helical elements and three loops (D, anti-codon, and T loops). Further hydrogen bonds mediate the characteristic L-shaped molecular structure. tRNAs have two regions of fundamental functional importance: the anti-codon, which is responsible for specific mRNA codon recognition, and the 3' end, to which the tRNAs corresponding amino acid is attached (by aminoacyl-tRNA synthetases). tRNAs cope with the degeneracy of the genetic code in two manners: having more than one tRNA (with a specific anti-codon) for a particular amino acid; and 'wobble' base-pairing, i.e. permitting non-standard base-pairing at the 3rd anti-codon position. RNAcentral also lists the same sequence under 7 other names. The record is from RNAcentral. Lineage: Bacteria; Pseudomonadati; Bacteroidota; Cytophagia; Cytophagales; Amoebophilaceae.